RNAcentral lists this ribosomal RNA (474 nucleotides) under uncultured Methanosaeta sp. RNAcentral's name for it is "bacterial SSU rRNA". It matches the Rfam family "Archaeal small subunit ribosomal RNA", at positions 865 to 1338 of the family's 1478-position model. The record is from RNAcentral. Lineage: Archaea; Methanobacteriati; Methanobacteriota; Methanomicrobia; Methanotrichales; Methanotrichaceae.
UUGACGGGGGAGCACCACAACGGGUGGAGCUUGCGGUUUAAUUGGAUUCAACGCCGGAAAUCUUACCGGGACCGACAGCAAUAUGAAGGCCAGGCUGAAGACUUUGCCGGAUUAGCUGAGAGGUGGUGCAUGGCCGUCGUCAGUUCGUACUGUGAAGCAUCCUGUUAAGUCAGGCAACGAGCGAGACCCACGCCCACAGUUGCCAGCGUACUCUCUGGAGUGACGGGUACACUGUGGGGACCGCCGCUGCUAAAGCGGAGGAAGGAAUGGGCAACGGUAGGUCAGUAUGCCCCGAAUAUCCCGGGCUACACGCGAGCUACAAUGGUUGGUACAAUGGGUAUCUACCCCGAAAGAGGACGGGAAUCUCCUAAAACCAAUCUUAGUUCGGAUUGAGGGCUGCAACUCGCCCUCAUGAAGCUGGAAUCCGUAGUAAUCGCGUUUCAACAGAACGCGGUGAAUACGUCCCUGCUCCUU